CUCCUCGUUUUAGAAGAGGGAGAGGGAGAGGGAGAAGACGAGGGAGAAAGAGGG
Molecule: non-coding RNA, 54 nt
Filed under: Paramoeba aestuarina
Lineage: Eukaryota; Discosea; Flabellinia; Dactylopodida; Paramoebidae
Source: RNAcentral